Small nucleolar RNA from Oryctolagus cuniculus (rabbit), 119 nucleotides. The record is from Ensembl. Lineage: Eukaryota; Metazoa; Chordata; Mammalia; Lagomorpha; Leporidae.
GUGACCUUUUAGAACUGAUGGAGUGCUUUAAGAGGCUAACACAGGUGGGGAAAGUAAGUCUCCAUAAAAUGCAGAGAAGAGAUUGUCACCUCUUCUUUGGUUCCUGUCGAGUCACAGCU